This is a long non-coding RNA of Dreissena polymorpha, 1060 nucleotides long. RefSeq lists it as uncharacterized. The record is from RefSeq and is a predicted model, not a curated record. NCBI's taxonomy places the organism in Eukaryota, Metazoa, Mollusca, Bivalvia, Myida, Dreissenidae. The transcript has 3 exons.
UCAGUUAUCGCGUAUAAGUGCUCUAAGUUCUAUCAGUGUUAAGUACUCUCAUUGACCGCGUUUUAGUUUGUCUCUGUGAUGCGUGUUAAGUUCUGUCAAUGGUCGCGUCCUUAUUUUUCUCAAUAAUCGGGUAUAAGUUCUCUGUGUUCUCUCAUUGUUGAGUUCUCUCAAUGAUCGCGUCUUAAUUUCUCUCAUUAAUCGCCUAUAAGUUCUCUAUGUUCUCUCAUUGUUCAGUUCUCUCAGUGGUCGUGUAUGUUUUCUUUGUUCUCUUCGUGUUAAGUUAUCUCAAUGAUCGCGAAAAUAAGUUCUCUAAGUUCUCUCAGUAUUUAGUUCUCUUAAUGAUCGCGUCUUAAGUUCUCUCAGUUAUCGUGUAUAAGUGCGCUAAGUUCUCUAAGUGUUACGUUCUCUCAUUGACCAUGUGUUAAUUUGUUUCUGUAAUCGCGUGUUAAGUUCUUACUAAGUUCUAACCAAAUUUCUCUCAAUAAUCGCGUAUAAGUUCUCUAUCUUCUCUCAUUGUUCUGUUCUCUCAGUGGUGACGUAUAAGUUUUCUUUGUUCUCUUCGUGUUAAGUUAUCUCAAUGAUCGCGUAUAAGUACUCUGUGUUCUCUAAUUGUUCAGUUCUCUCAAUGAUCGCGUCUUAAUUUCUCUCAUUAAUCGCGCAUAAGUUCUCUCAUUAACUGCGUUUUAAUUUGUCUCUGUGAUCGCGUGUUAAGUUCUGUCAGUGAUCGUGUCCUAAUUUCUCUCAAUAAUCGCGUAUAAGUUCUCUAUGUUCUCUCAUUGUUCUGUUCUCUCAGUGGUGGCGUAUAAGUUUUCUUUGUUCUCUUCGUGUUAAGUUAUCUAAAUGAUCACGUAUAAGUUCUCUAUGUUCUCUAAUUGUUCAGUUCUCUCAAUGAUCGCUUCUUAAUUUCUCUCAAUAAUCGUGAAUAAGUUCUCUACGUUCUCUCAUUGUUCUGUUCUCUCAGUGGUCGCAUAUAAGUUUUCUUUCUUCUCUUCGUGUCAAGUUCUCUCAAUGAUCGCGUAUAAGUUCUCUAAAUUCUCUCAGUGUUAAGUUCUCUUAAUGA